This 468-nucleotide ribosomal RNA is filed under the name uncultured bacterium. RNAcentral's name for it is "partial 16S ribosomal RNA". It matches the Rfam family "Bacterial small subunit ribosomal RNA", at positions 28 to 507 of the family's 1533-position model. The record is from RNAcentral.
GACGAACGCUGGCGGCGUGCUUAACACAUGCAAGCCGAACGGAAAGGCCCUGCUUUUGUGGGGUGAUCGAGUGGCGAACGGGUGAGUAACACGUGAGUAACCUGCCCUUGACUUUGGGAUAAAUUCAGGAAACUGGGGCUAAUACCGGAUAGGAGCUCCUGCUGCAUGGCGGGGGUUGGAAAGUUUCUGCGGUUGGGGAUGGACUCGCGGCUUAUCAGCUUGUUGGUGGGGUAGUGGCUUACCAAGGCUUUGACGGGUAGCCGGCCUGAGAGGGUGACCGGCCACAUUGGGACUGAGAUACGGCCCAGACUCCUACGGGAGGCAGCAGUGGGGAAUAUUGCACAAUGGGCGGAAGCCUGAUGCAGCAACGCCGCGUGCGGGAUGACCGCCUUCGGGUUGUAAACCGCUUUCGCCUGUGACGAAGCUUGAGUGACGGUAAUGGGUAAAGAAGCACCGGCUAACUACGUG